This is a long non-coding RNA of Cyprinus carpio (common carp), 511 nucleotides long. Lineage: Eukaryota; Metazoa; Chordata; Actinopteri; Cypriniformes; Cyprinidae. The record is from Ensembl.
AUGUCCUGUAUAAAUUCCAAUUUUAUGAAUAAUGUUUUUACACACUUUCAGGCUGGUUAUGACACAGUAAGCUCCACACACUACUUUGUGAUUCCUGGAUCAAACAAUGGGAGCUCCAUCUCAAACCUCAGGAACUCCAGUAAUGUUAAUGUUCCUGGUCGAUGGGCCUUCAGGGUGGACGGUGGAUCAAAGUCAAACAAGGAGUACAUCACUGGACUUCAAGCAAAACUUUCCUCAUUUUCUGACCUAACAGAUACUGGAAACAUUCAGAUUGUUUUGCAGCAAGUAAGACACAAACAUGACUAUUCAUACAGAAUGCGGUGCUAAUAUACAACAUGGAGAAAAUCUGAUCUGUUUGUCCAUCUGUGUUUCAGAUAAAACAGGAGCUGGUCAAGUACGGUCUGCCAAACAGCAUAGAGCUGACGUUAAGAAAUGUGCAAAAGAUAAAGCCGUAAUAUCAGUCUGCUUCAGGAAAAGAAAUAAAACCGUUCUGUUCACUUAGUGCCUGACA